RNAcentral lists this ribosomal RNA (253 nucleotides) under uncultured bacterium. RNAcentral describes it as "partial 16S ribosomal RNA". It matches the Rfam family "Bacterial small subunit ribosomal RNA", at positions 524 to 776 of the family's 1533-position model. The record is from RNAcentral.
UACGAAGGGGGCUAGCGUUGCUCGGAAUCACUGGGCGUAAAGCGCACGUAGGCGGCUUGUUAAGUCAGGGGUGAAAUCCUGGAGCUCAACUCCAGAACUGCCUUUGAUACUGGGGAUCUCGAGUCCGGGAGAGGUGAGUGGAACUGCGAGUGUAGAGGUGAAAUUCGUAGAUAUUCGCAAGAACACCCGUGGCGAAGGCGGCUCUCUGGACCGGUACUGACGCUGAGGUGCGAAAGCGUGGGGAGCAAACAGG